Molecule: long non-coding RNA, 2502 nt
Filed under: Homo sapiens (human)
Lineage: Eukaryota; Metazoa; Chordata; Mammalia; Primates; Hominidae
Description: p53 upregulated regulator of p53 levels
Source: RNAcentral
GCCCUCUUGAGCUCUUGUGGUGACCUGGGAAUCAAUGUGUGAGGUGGUGCUAUGUAGCAGGAACCCCUCUUGCUUUGCAAAUAGUUUUUUGUUUGUUUUCCUUUUUGCCCAAUAGAGCCCUGCUCUACUGACCCUUCAAUGUGCCCGUGUGCCUAAAUAUUCCUGGUCGUGUGAAAAGAACCCAGGUAUUAGCUGAACUAAGGAGCACAAUUCUGCAACAUUUUGGCACCCAAACACGGGGCUUGAGAAAUGAAUGCAAUUGGAGAAACUGGUUGUUUUACCAGGCGUUGAUUGGAAAUGUGUGCUUCCCUUUAAGCAGUCAAGCUCAACUUGCAGAACUGAUGGGAACCCCUUGGGAAAACUGGCCUCAAAUGUUUGUCUACACAGUCCACAUACAGGGUUCUUAACCUGCGGCCAUCAAACUCCAGUCUGCACCUGGAGCCUUGGAUGAUGGCCUUUUUUACUGGGAACCCUGAAAUAGGCCUCUGAGGGAAAUCUGAUUGCCAUUUUCCCAAAACAGCUUCCCUGACAAUAGGAAGCAAUUAAGAUUGGUCUUCAUCCUUAUCUUUAUCCUUAUUCUAAUGGCAGUUAGAGGUACUUCUUUAGAGGGGGGAAUGAGACAGCCAAAUGCCUAGGCAGAUAAAAAGGUGUACCUGGAAAAUUUCCAACCCGUCACACAAGUGUUUACAUCAGAUGCUUUUGUGUAGAUGAGGGAAACUUCCCAGGGCUUGUCUGGGUAUGCCCACAGUGGACUGGAGCCCAAAAUGCACACUGGAGGAAGUGGAUGGAGCCACGUGGAUGUCAUGCCUUAUGCAGGGGAGGAGCCUGCUCUCUUCAGCUCCUGUGGUAAUGUGGGAAUCGAUCUGUGAGGUGAGGACCUGUUAGCAGGAACCCCUCUUGCUUUGCUGAAAGUUUUAUUUUUCUUUUUGCCCUAUAAAACCCUGUUCUACUAACCCUUCAAUAUGUCUGCAUUCCUAAAUUUUCCUGGUCAUGUGACGAGAACCUAGGUUUUAGCUGAACUAAGGAGCAAAAUUCUGCAACAUAAAGUCAAAGAAAACUAUGCCUAUAUCCAUUAAAUCAAAUGUUAAAAAGCAAAUAUAAAGAAAAAGUCUUCACAGCCCUAGAGAAAAGUGAAACAUUGUACAUAAAGAAGUAAUAAUUUGAAUGGAUUGUCAGAAACCAUGACUAGAAGACAGAGGAGCAAUAUUUUCAAAUUUCAUAGAGAAAGGAAAAAAAGAAAAGAAGAAAAAAAAGAAGACAUAAUAAAACACCUGUCAUUUUAGUAUUCUGUACCCAUUGAACAUAACCUUCAAUAGAAUGUGAAGUAGACAUAUUCAGGUGAAUAAAAAAUCAAGAGAAUAAUAGUUAUGUUCUACAUGAAAUUAUAAAGGAAAUUUCUCAGACUAGGUGGAAAUUAUACUAGUGAGAAACAGAUUUGAAGGACUAAAGGAAGAGAUGAUAGACUGACAAAGUCAAUUUUUAAAAGCCAGAUCUAACUUCUUAUUGGCUACAAGGAAUCCACUUUUAAUAUACAAAAAUAGGUAAUAAUUAAAUUGCUAGAAAAUACAUUUCAAAUAAAGAAUCAGCACAUGUAGCUUGGAGAAGAUAUAUUAACAUAAAAAGGACUUCAAUAAAAGGAGUAUUAUGAGAAGACAUUUAUGCAGCCAAAAAACACAUGAAAAAAUGCUCACCAUCACUGGCCAUCAGAGAAAUGCAAAUCAAAACCACAAUGAGAUACCAUCUCACACCAGUUAGAAUGGCAAUCAUUAAAAAGUCAGGAAACAACAGGUGCUGGAGAGGAUGUGGAGAAAUAGGAACACUUUUACACUGUUGGUGGGACUGUAAACUAGUUCAACCAUUGUGGAAGUCAGUGUGGUGAUUCCUCAGGGAUCUAGAACUGGAAAUACCAUUUGACCCAGCCAUCCCAUUACUGGGUGUAUACCCAAAGGACUAUAAAUCAUGCUUCUAUAAAGACACAUGCACAGGUAUGUUUAUUGCGGCACUAUUCACAAUAGCAAAGACCUGGAACCAACCCAAAUGUCCAACAAUGAUAGACUGGAUUAAGAAAAUGUGGCACAUAUACACCAUGGAAUACUAUGCAGCCAUAAAAAAUGAUGAGUUCAUGUCCUUUGUAGGGACAUGGAUGAAAUUGGAAAUCAUCAUUCUCAGUAAACUAUCACAAGGACAAAAAACCAAACACCACAUAUUCUCACUCAUAGGUGGGAAUUGAACAAUGAGAUCACAUGGACACGGGAAAGGGAACAUCACACUCUGGGGACUGUUGUGGGGUGGGGGGAGAGGGGAGGGAUAGCAUUAGGAGAUAUACCUAAUGCUAAAUGAUGAGUUAAUGAGUGCAGCACACCAGCAUGGCACAUGUAUACAUAUGUAACUAACCUUUACGUUGUGCACAUGUACCCUAAAACUUAAAGUAUAAUAAUAAUAAAAUAAAAUAAAAUAAAAAUUUAUCAGAAAAACAAUAUCAAUUAUAAUGUAUAUACCUAA